This 66-nucleotide transfer RNA is filed under the name Lomis hirta. Its description in RNAcentral is "tRNA-Arg". Lineage: Eukaryota; Metazoa; Arthropoda; Malacostraca; Decapoda; Lomidae. The record is from RNAcentral.
AACUAGAAAGCGAAUGUUGCACUUAGUUUCGACCUAGAUUUUGGUCUGUUUUAUGACCUCUAGUUA